AUUGAACGCUGGCGGCAGGCCUCACACAUGCAAGUCGAGCGGAUGAGAGGAGCUUGCUCCUCGAUUCAGCGGCGGACGGGUGAGUAAUGCCUAGGAAUCUGCCCAGUAGUGGGGGACAACGUUUCGAAAGGAACGCUAAUACCGCAUACGUCCUACGGGAGAAAGUGGGGGAUCUUCGGACCUCACGCUAUUGGAUGAGCCUAGGUCGGAUUAGCUAGUUGGUAGGGUAAAGGCCUACCAAGGCGACGAUCCGUAACUGGUCUGAGAGGAUGAUCAGUCACACUGGAACUGAGGCACGGUCCAGACUCCUACGGGAGGCAGCAGUGGGGAAUAUUGGACAAUGGGCGCAAGCCUGAUCCAGCCAUGCCGCGUGUGUGAAGAAGGCCCUCGGGUCGUAAAGCACUUUAAGUUGGGAGGAAGGGCUUACAGCGAAUACCUGUGAGUUUUGACGUUACCGACAGAAUAAGCACCGGCUAACUUCGUGCCAGCAGCCGCCGUAA
This 500-nucleotide ribosomal RNA is filed under the name uncultured bacterium. RNAcentral describes it as "partial 16S ribosomal RNA". It matches the Rfam family "Bacterial small subunit ribosomal RNA", at positions 30 to 523 of the family's 1533-position model. The record is from RNAcentral.